UACAGGGGGUGCAAACGUUGCUCGGAAUUAUUGGGCGUAAAGCGCGCGUAGGCGGCUAUUUAAGUCGGAUGUGAAAGCCCUUGGCUCAACUGAGGAAGUGCACCCGAAACUGAAUGGCUUGAGUACCAAAGAGGGUCGCGGAAUUCCCGGUGUAGAGGUGAAAUUCGUAGAUAUCGGGAGGAACACCGGUGGCGAAGGCGGCGACCUGGGUGGAUACUGACGCUGAGGCGCGAAAGCGUGGGGAGCAAACAGG
RNAcentral lists this ribosomal RNA (253 nucleotides) under uncultured bacterium. Its description in RNAcentral is "partial 16S ribosomal RNA". It matches the Rfam family "Bacterial small subunit ribosomal RNA", at positions 524 to 776 of the family's 1533-position model. The record is from RNAcentral.